This 72-nucleotide transfer RNA is filed under the name Phrynosoma platyrhinos (Desert horned lizard). RNAcentral's name for it is "tRNA-OTHER". The record is from RNAcentral. Lineage: Eukaryota; Metazoa; Chordata; Lepidosauria; Squamata; Phrynosomatidae.
GCCAGAGUGAUGUAGUGGUUUGAGUGUUGGACUACAACUCUGAAGAUCAGGGUUUGAUUCCCAGCUCAGCCA